UUGGAGGGCAAGUCUGGUGCCAGCAGCCGCGGUAAUUCCAGCUCCAAUAGCGUAUAUUAAAGUUGUUGUGGUUAAAAAGCUCGUAGUUAAACCUUGGGCCUGGCUGGCCGGUCCGCCUCACCGCGUGUACUGGUCCGGCCGGGCCUUUCCCUCUGUGGAACCCCAUGCCCUUCACUGGGUGUGGCGGGGAGACAGGACUUUUACUGUGAAAAAAUUAGAGUGCUCAAGGCAGGCCUAUGCUCGAAUACAUUAGCAUGGAAUAAUAGAAUAGGA
Molecule: ribosomal RNA, 273 nt
Filed under: uncultured Ascomycota
Lineage: Eukaryota; Fungi; Ascomycota
Description: partial 18S ribosomal RNA
Rfam family: Eukaryotic small subunit ribosomal RNA
Source: RNAcentral